Myodes glareolus (Bank vole) is the source of this 1247-nucleotide non-coding RNA. The record is from RefSeq and is a predicted model, not a curated record. Lineage: Eukaryota; Metazoa; Chordata; Mammalia; Rodentia; Cricetidae.
CCAUGUGAUUGCCGGGAAUUGAACUCAGGACCUUUGGAAGAGCAGACAGGGGUCAUGUAUUUCAGGCCAUCUUUGAACUUGCACUUGCUAUAUAGCCACCAAGUGUCCAGCAGAGCUGUUCAUGGAGGAAGGCAGUGACACACAGGGCGAAGGAGGGCUUGAAGCAGAGGAUGUGGAAGCUGGAGGUUCUGCAUGGCCUGAAGUGGAGCAGCAAGCAAGGCUUUCGUGGUGGUCCUAACCCCUCAAGACAUGUUUUCUUGCAGCCAUCUUGGCAGGCUGGGAUGGGGGAAGAGAAGACAGAUGGCUGGAUAGCUGAUUGAGCCAAAGUUGGGGAACUACCAGAUGGAGGUGUUAGAAAGACAGGGUGAGGACACUGGUGUGCUGGCAAGAGAAUGGCUGACAACAAGGCCAUGGAGUCCAGGAAAUCUGGGGAGGAGCAGAGCUUGGGAGAGGUUUCCUGAAGUGACUUCAGCUUGAUGAAAACAAUGUUCUAGAAAUAAUCCGCUCUGCGUGUUUAUGAAGUGAGAGAGUUCAUGCCAAAAUUAUUUUGGAGAUUCUGUACUCAGAGCAACCAGAGACGUUGUUAUACUGAGAACUAAAAAGAUUGAGCCAGAGAAACUCUUGUUGGCCUGAGACACCGUGAAGAGGGACACCGUCUAUAACACACUAAUGUGACUAAAAACAAAGUAGUUCUCCGAUGAACAGAAUUUCACAGAGACAAAGGGACCUGCAGGAAUGAGUGUUCCACCUGCAGGAAUGAGUGUUCCACCUGCAGGAAUGAGUGUUCCACCUGCAGGAAUGAGUGUUCCACCUGCAGGAAUGAGUGUUCCACCUGCAGUUACUUUAAAGAGUUUUUUAAAAAUUUUCAUGUGUGCAUAUGUUUGCAUGCACAUAUGUGCGUAUGUGUACGGGUCCCAAGGAGAUGAAGUUAUAGGCAGUUGUGAGCCACCAUGUGGUUGCUGAGAAUUGAACCCAGGUCCUCUGGAAGAAGCAGCCAGCACUCUUAACCACUGAGCCAUCUCAAGUAAACUACAAGUAAACUUCACUUUAACUCUCAAGAAGUCAGCCUAGCACAGUGGCACAGGCCUGCAAUUCCAGAAACCAAUAAAUAGAGGCAGGAAUAUCAGGAGUUCAAGCUGCAUAGUGAAGUCAAGGCCAGCCUAGGCUACAUAAGACUGUGUAACAAAAAAAAAAAAAUGAAAACCUAAAACAAAACCAAAAGGGGGCUGGAGAUAUACCUUAGUUGA